CAAUAGCGUAUAUUAAAGUUGUUGCGGUAAAAAAGCUCGUAGUUGGAUUUCUACCGAAGAUAGCCGGUCGGGUCGUCGACCUUGUAUCUGGUUUUGUCUUUGGUAUCCUCAUAGGGAACGUUUCUGCGCUUUAUUGCGUGGUGCGGUAUCUAUGACUUUUACUUUGAGGAAAUUAGAGUGUUCACGGCAGGCAAACGCCUUGAAUAUAUUAGCAUGGAAUAAUAACAUAGGAUCUUCGUCCUAUUUUGUUGGUUUCUAGGGCUAAGAUAAUGAUUAAUAGGGAUAAUUGGGGGCAUCUGUAUCAACGCGUCAGAGGUGGAAUUCUUGGAUUGCGUUGCGACAAACUACUGCGAAAGCAUUUGCCAAGGAUGUUUUCAUUGA
RNAcentral lists this ribosomal RNA (381 nucleotides) under uncultured eukaryote. RNAcentral describes it as "partial 18S ribosomal RNA". It matches the Rfam family "Eukaryotic small subunit ribosomal RNA", at positions 592 to 976 of the family's 1831-position model. The record is from RNAcentral.